UCAUUUAUUUACGACCAUAAAAGUUUACAUACUUUGAUCGGUCACUAGAAUCAUAUAUUUAGUACCACGGAAGCAUACAUAUAUACUAGGACCAAUCACUAGAACCGAGCGGUUGUAGUAAGUACUAAGGGGGACUUCUUACGGAGUAUAACGCCAUAUUUCUCACUCAUGUCCAAGUCCUCGUGUUUGACUCCAUUUGGCAAUCCAACGUCAAACUUGUAUACGAUAUUUGCUACUGCAAGCUCCAUGAUAGCUACUCCAAAUUGAAUGCCAGGGCAUGUUCUUCGACCAGCACCAAAUGGAAGCCACUCAAAAUUAAGGCCUUUGUAGUCAAUUUUAUUUUUCAAGAACCUUUCAGGUCUAAACUCUUCUGCUUCUUCCCACAACAUAGGAUCUCUUCCUAUCGCCCAAGCAUUGACAAUAACUUGUGUACGUGCUGGAAUAUCAUACCCCAUUAGUUUCACAUCUUGUGUGGAUAUCCGUGGAAGUAGAAGUGGGGCUGGCAUAUGCAGUCGCAAGCUCUCUUGUAUGACGGCUUUUAGAUAAUGCAUUUUCUCCAAAUCCUCCUCAGCAAUUAUGUGUCUUCCUUGAGCUACUUCGGUUACUUCGUGUUGUAGCUUUUUCAUUGCUCCUGGGUGUCUUACUAGCUCGCUCAUUACCCACUCUAGACUUGAUGCUGCAGUGUCUAUUCCGCCAACAAAUACAUCCUAAAAAGAAAAAGGGAAUGGUACAUAAGUAACUAAAACAAUAUGAUGAGAUGAAACUUGGUUAAGAAGAUUAACUCAUACCAAGAUUACAGCUUUAACAGUAUCUCUUUGAAAGGUAAAGUCCGUUGUUCCAUCUUUCUGGACGUUUAGUAAAAUAUCAACGAAGUCUUUUCCUUUGUUUGGGACUGCUUCAGCCGCUCCUUUCUUCAUUACAUGUUCUUCGAUAACACCUUCAAGAAACUCAUCAAAUUGUCUAGCAACUGCUUUAGCCCGUCCCACUAAACCAGUAACAUGAUCAACCCAUGACAACCAUGGAACAUAAGUGCCAACACUAAAAAAAGUGAACAUGUCUAAGAAAGUUUGUAUUAUUUUUUU
RNAcentral lists this long non-coding RNA (1082 nucleotides) under Helianthus annuus (common sunflower). Its description in RNAcentral is "sRNA HanXRQr2_Chr02g0052881". Lineage: Eukaryota; Viridiplantae; Streptophyta; Magnoliopsida; Asterales; Asteraceae. The record is from RNAcentral.